GCGGGGUGCUAUACAUGCAAGUCGAACGAACUCUGGUAUUGAUUGGUGCUUGCAUCAUGAUUUACAUUUGAGUGAGUGGCGAACUGGUGAGUAACACGUGGGAAACCUGCCCAGAAGCGGGGGAUAACACCUGGAAACAGAUGCUAAUACCGCAUAACAACUUGGACCGCAUGGUCCGAGCUUGAAAGAUGGCUUCGGCUAUCACUUUUGGAUGGUCCCGCGGCGUAUUAGCUAGAUGGUGGGGUAACGGCUCACCAUGGCAAUGAUACGUAGCCGACCUGAGAGGGUAAUCGGCCACAUUGGGACUGAGACACGGCCCAAACUCCUACGGGAGGCAGCAGUAGGGAAUCUUCCACAAUGGACGAAAGUCUGAUGGAGCAACGCCGCGUGAGUGAAGAAGGGUUUCGGCUCGUAAAACUCUGUUGUUAAAGAAGAACAUAUCUGAGAGUAACUGUUCAGGUAUUGACGGUAUUUAACCAGAAAGCCACGGCUAACUACGUGCCAGCAGCCGCGGUAAUACGUAGGUGGCAAGCGUUGUCCGGAUUUAUUGGGCGUAAAGCGAGCGCAGGCGGUUUUUUAAGUCUGAUGUGAAAGCCUUCGGCUCAACCGAAGAAGUGCAUCGGAAACUGGGAAACUUGAGUGCAGAAGAGGACAGUGGAACUCCAUGUGUAGCGGUGAAAUGCGUAGAUAUAUGGAAGAACACCAGUGGCGAAGGCGGCUGUCUGGUCUGUAACUGACGCUGAGGCUCGAAAGUAUGGGUAGCAAACAGGAUUAGAUACCCUGGUAGUCCAUACCGUAAACGAUGAAUGCUAAGUGUUGGAGGGUUUCCGCCCUUCAGUGCUGCAGCUAACGCAUUAAGCAUUCCGCCUGGGGAGUACGGCCGCAAGGCUGAAACUCAAAGGAAUUGACGGGGGCCCGCACAAGCGGUGGAGCAUGUGGUUUAAUUCGAAGCUACGCGAAGAACCUUACCAGGUCUUGACAUACUAUGCAAAUCUAAGAGAUUAGACGUUCCCUUCGGGGACAUGGAUACAGGUGGUGCAUGGUUGUCGUCAGCUCGUGUCGUGAGAUGUUGGGUUAAGUCCCGCAACGAGCGCAACCCUUAUUAUCAGUUGCCAGCAUUAAGUUGGGCACUCUGGUGAGACUGCCGGUGACAAACCGGAGGAAGGUGGGGAUGACGUCAAAUCAUCAUGCCCCUUAUGACCUGGGCUACACACGUGCUACAAUGGAUGGUACAACGAGUUGCGAACUCGCGAGAGUAAGCUAAUCUCUUAAAGCCAUUCUCAGUUCGGAUUGUAGGCUGCAACUCGCCUACAUGAAGUCGGAAUCGCUAGUAAUCGCGGAUCAGCAUGCCGCGGUGAAUACGUUCCCGGGCCUUGUACACACCGCCCGUCACACCAUGAGAGUUUGUAACACCCAAAGUCGGUGGGGUAACCUUUUAGGAACCAGCCGCCUAAGGUGGGACAGAUGAUUAGGGGGAAGUCGUAACAAGAGCCACC
Molecule: ribosomal RNA, 1496 nt
Filed under: Lactiplantibacillus plantarum
Lineage: Bacteria; Bacillati; Bacillota; Bacilli; Lactobacillales; Lactobacillaceae
Description: bacterial SSU rRNA
Rfam family: Bacterial small subunit ribosomal RNA
Source: RNAcentral